RNAcentral lists this unclassified non-coding RNA (311 nucleotides) under plant metagenome. Its description in RNAcentral is "partial contains 5.8S ribosomal RNA, internal transcribed spacer 2, and large subunit ribosomal RNA". The stretch from base 1 to 104 matches the Rfam family "5.8S ribosomal RNA", at positions 50 to 154 of the family's 154-position model. The record is from RNAcentral.
GAAAUGCGAUACGUAAUGUGAAUUGCAAAUUCAGUGAAUCAUCGAGUCUUUGAACGCACAUUGCGCCCCCUGGUAUUCCGGGGGGCAUGUCUGUCCGAGCGUCAUUUCUGCCCUCAAGCACGGCUUGUGUGUUGGGCCCCGUCCUCCGAUCCCGGGGACGGGCCCGAAAGGCAGCGGCGGCACCGCGUCCGGUCCUCGAGCGUAUGGGGCUUUGUCACCCGCUCUGUAGGCCCGGCCGGCGCUUGCCGAUCAACCCAAAUUUUUAUCCAGGUUGACCUCGGAUCAGGUAGGGAUACCCGCUGAACUUAAGC